This 24-nucleotide non-coding RNA is filed under the name Arabidopsis thaliana (thale cress). Lineage: Eukaryota; Viridiplantae; Streptophyta; Magnoliopsida; Brassicales; Brassicaceae. The record is from RNAcentral.
AAUCAGGACUACCCGUUUCGGCGC